RNAcentral lists this ribosomal RNA (226 nucleotides) under uncultured bacterium. Its description in RNAcentral is "partial 16S ribosomal RNA". It matches the Rfam family "Bacterial small subunit ribosomal RNA", at positions 549 to 774 of the family's 1533-position model. The record is from RNAcentral.
AAUCAUUGGGUUUAAAGGGUACGCAGGCGGUAUUAUAAGUCAGUGGUGAAAGCCUACAGCUCAACUGUAGAACUGCAAUUGAUACUGUAGGACUUGAAUUCGGUCGAAGUGGGCGGAAUAUGACAUGUAGCGGUGAAAUGCUUAGAUAUGUCAUAGAACACCGAUAGCGAAGGCAGCUCACUAGGCCUGGAUUGACGCUCAGGGACGAAAGCGUGGGGAGCAAACA